RNAcentral lists this ribosomal RNA (255 nucleotides) under uncultured bacterium. Its description in RNAcentral is "partial 16S ribosomal RNA". It matches the Rfam family "Bacterial small subunit ribosomal RNA", at positions 524 to 776 of the family's 1533-position model. The record is from RNAcentral.
UACGAAGGGGGGCUAGCGUUGCUCGGAAUUACUGGGCGUAAAGCGCACGUAGGCGGUUCGUUAAGUCGGAUGUGAAAGCCCUCGGCUCAACUGAGGAAGUGCACCCGAAACUGGCGAGCUUGAGUACGAAAGAGGAUCGCGGAAUUCCCGGUGUAGAGGUGAAAUUCGUAGAUAUCGGGGAGGAACACCGGUGGCGAAGGCGGCGAUCUGGGUCGAUACUGACGCUGAGGUGCGAAAGCGUGGGGAGCAAACAGG